GACGAACGCUGGCGGCGUGCUUAACACAUGCAAGUCAAGGGGGCUCAGGGGCAACUCUGGGCAACCGGCGAACGGGUGCGUAACACGUGAGCAACCUGCCGAUCUCGCGGGGGAUAGCCGGCCCAACGGCCGGGUAAUACCGCAUACGCUUCUCGAGGGACAUCCCUUGGGAAGGAAACCCCUGGGGCAACUCAGGGGACGGAUCGAGGGGCUCGCGGCCUAUCAGCUAGUUGGUGCGGGUAACGGCCCACCAAGGCGACGACGGGUAGCCGGCCUGAGAGGGCGACCGGCCACACUGGGGACUGAGACACGGCCCAGACUCCUACGGGAGGCAGCAGUGGGGAAUAUUGCGCAAUGGGCGAAAGCCUGACGCAGCGACGCCGCGU
RNAcentral lists this ribosomal RNA (386 nucleotides) under uncultured bacterium. RNAcentral's name for it is "bacterial SSU rRNA". It matches the Rfam family "Bacterial small subunit ribosomal RNA", at positions 28 to 402 of the family's 1533-position model. The record is from RNAcentral.